Molecule: ribosomal RNA, 385 nt
Filed under: marine copepod environmental sample
Lineage: Eukaryota; Metazoa; Arthropoda; Copepoda
Description: SSU rRNA
Rfam family: Eukaryotic small subunit ribosomal RNA
Source: RNAcentral
AGCUCCAAUAGCGUAUAUUAAAGUUGUUGCGGUUAAAAAGCUCGUAGUUGGAUCUCGGCGGGUAGGGGGCGGUUCGUUAUCCGACGUUACUGCCCCAUUUAUCCGUGUUUUUGACAGAGGGUUGGGGGUCCCCUUUACCGGGUGUCUCUGGUCGCUGUCAGGUUUACUUUGAAAAAAUUAGAGUGCUCAAAGCAGGCUAUCAAAGCUUGAAUAUUCGUGCAUGGAAUAAUAGAAUAGGAAGUCGUUUCUAUUUUGUUGGUUUUCGGAAAUUGACUUAAUGAUUAAUAGGGACAAUUGGGGGCAUUAGUAUUCGGACGCUAGAGGUGAAAUUCUUGGACCGUCUGAAGACUAACUACUGCGAAAGCAUUUGCCAAGAGUGUUUUCA